Molecule: ribosomal RNA, 141 nt
Filed under: Triticum aestivum (bread wheat)
Lineage: Eukaryota; Viridiplantae; Streptophyta; Magnoliopsida; Poales; Poaceae
Description: partial small subunit ribosomal RNA
Source: RNAcentral
ACCGGGUCGAUACCAAAAAUAGGUUCACGUAAGAAAGUGCCUAUUAGUUUGCGUAGGAAUGCCCGUUUUAGUUUACGGAAGAGUGCACGUAGAAUAACAAAAGGGGUUAUUCAUGUGAAAGCCAGUUUCAACGAUUACUAG